This 813-nucleotide long non-coding RNA is filed under the name Monodelphis domestica (gray short-tailed opossum). RNAcentral describes it as "lncRNA (ENSMODG00000043738.1)". Lineage: Eukaryota; Metazoa; Chordata; Mammalia; Didelphimorphia; Didelphidae. The record is from RNAcentral.
AAUGAACUGUUGAUGGAGUUAUAAAUUGGUAAUACCCAUACUAGUUCUGUAUCCAAAAGAGGUCAAAGAAAAAGGAAAAGUAUUCAUAUAUACAAACAUUGCAGCUCUUUUUGUUGUGGCAAAGAAUUGCAAAUCAAAGGCAUGUUCAUUAGUUGGAGAAUAGCUGUACAAGUUGUGCAUAUGAUUGUGAUGUAGUACUAUUAUGUAAUAAUAAAUGUUGAUGGGAGCUGUUCAGAAAAAAAAAAUAUGGCAAGGCUUACAUGAACUGAGGCAUAGUGAAGUGAAAAGAAUUGGGAGAUCAUUGUACACAGUAACAGCAAUGUUGUAAUGAUGAUCAACGAUGAAAGAUUUGGAUCCAAGACAAUUCCAUAGGACUAAUGUUGAAAAAAUGUUCUCUACAUCCAGAGAAAUAACUGAAGAACACUGAAUGGAAAAUGAAGUUCUCCCUGAUUCAAAACCCCAUCUUUUUAAUACUUGUGUUCCUUGGGUGAUGUAAAAUGGCAGCAAAUCAUAGAGUUCUACAAUCUCUCUGAAUAGACAUCUGAAGAGAUGCAGGUCAUCCAAAGGGCAAAGGAGAAAAAUAUGGUGGAGAUGAGGAAAUUGAUGUUCAAAGAAAUAAAGUGCAAAAUGACUUUGUCCAAGUUAUGUAGUCUACAUUGGGAUGAGAACACGGGUUUCAACUUCCAUUCAAGUCUCCCAGGAAAAGAUUUGGAGAAAGAAUCUCUGUUGUAGGAGAAAAGCAGGAGCAUGGCAUUUUCAUGUAACUAUGCAUGACUUAUCCCUUCCCUCAUCCCCCCUCCCCGACAUUUGAAC